AGAGUUUAAUCCUGGCUCAGGACGAACGCUGGCGGCGUGCCUAACACAUGCAAGUCGAGGGUUUGAUUUAUCAAGCACUGGCAUCCGGGUGAGUAACGCGUAGGUCAUCUGCCCCUAUCACAGACAUAACAGUUCUAACGGACUGCUAAUAUCUGAUGAGGCGAGCAAUCGUCAAAGCUUUGGCGGAUAGGGAUGAGCCUGCGUCUGAUUAGGUAGUUGGUGAGGUAACGGCUCACCAAGCCUACGAUCAGUAGCUGGUCUGAGAGGACGAACAGCCACACUGGAACUGAGACACGGUCCAGACUCCUACGGGAGGCAGCAGUGAGGAAUAUUGGACAAUGGGCGCAAGCCUGAACCAGCGACGCCGCGUGGGGGAUGAAGGGGCUUUGCCUCGUAAACCUCUGUCGGAUGGGACGAAAGAUGGCUUUGAGCCAUUGGGACGGUACCAUCAAAGGAAGGAUCGGCUAACUACGUGCCAGCAGCCGCGGUAAUACGUAGGAUCCGAGCGUUGUCCGGAGUUACUGGGUGUAAAGGGUGCGUAGGCUGUUCUGUGCGUCAGAGGUGAAAUCCACGGGCUUAACUCGUGGGGUGCCUUUGAUACGGCAGGGCUUGAGUACGAGAGAGGUGCGUGGAAUUCCUGGUGUAGCAGUGAAAUGCGUAGAUAUCAGGAGGAACACCGGUGGCGAAGGCGGCGCACUGGCUCGUAACUGACGCUGAGGCACGAAAGCGUGGGGAUCAAACAGGAUUAGAUACCCUGGUAGUCCACGCCUUAAACGAUGCAUGCUUGGUGUUGGUCUCGUAAGAGAUCAGUGCCGUAGUUAACAUGAUAAGCAUGCCACCUGGGGAGUACGAUCGCAAGGUUGAAACUCAAAGGAAUUGACCG
This 883-nucleotide ribosomal RNA is filed under the name uncultured marine bacterium. Its description in RNAcentral is "bacterial SSU rRNA". It matches the Rfam family "Bacterial small subunit ribosomal RNA", at positions 8 to 916 of the family's 1533-position model. The record is from RNAcentral.